Molecule: long non-coding RNA, 644 nt
Filed under: Coturnix japonica (Japanese quail)
Lineage: Eukaryota; Metazoa; Chordata; Aves; Galliformes; Phasianidae
Description: lncRNA (ENSCJPG00005021061.1)
Source: RNAcentral
GUUCCCUGUGACACAAGAAGUUUGCUGGAGUCCUUUAAUUAACAGUACAAAAUCAGCAUGAAUAUGAACUAGAAAGACAGAGCCAGGAUAUUUUGCAUCAUGCACUGAGUGAUGCUGGAAGCAAAGGAGCUCUUCUGGGCUUCUCCUCAUGGCUAAAGGCAAAGCACUGCAGAGACUCCUUCAGCAAGUCAUUAGGUGAGGCUACACCUUUUGUCAGUGAUUCUCCACCUGCCUUCCCUGGUGUUUAAUCUGUUGUGAGCUGCCUGGAGAGGAAAAGGUGGUGAGACUUCAGUGAGCAGUCGAUGAAAGAAUGAAGACUAUCACUCUUCAGGGCCAAAGGAAGCACAGCUGAAGAAAUAAUCUACUUUCAACUGUAUAGAAACAGGUGUUUUGUGAUCCAGCACUGUACCAGCGUGAAAGCAAAAAGAAAACAACAAACUGCUCACAGGAGAUGGCAGGAACUCCCAGCAGGGAGGAAAGAGGUGUAAGCACACGGUGUCAGCCUCGUGCUUCUCUUCCCGGGUCCAAUGGGGACUGAAGCAAGCACAGGCAAUGCUGAUGCACUGGAGAAUUCAGCUCCCACGCACCGGAAGGUUUGGAAGCAUCAAGCUCUAUUUUAAGUGUGUGCUGUUUUGUUAGCAUAC